UUGUUUCACCAAAUGUGAAGUUUAGGUUGAAAUAAAUAACUGAGUGAACUAGAAUUCAGAUAAAAUUACUUUUAUUCUUCUAUUUGUUUAUAUAGCUGUUGAAUUGAAGUUUUUUCAGUUCUGUUGUUUAUUUAGCAGAAUGUGAAUGAUGUAAAAGUUUAAGGUAUAAAAAAUAAGUUAAUAUUUUAUUAUUAUGAGGUAUUUUUUAAUAUAUUCGUCGGAACUUCAAAAAUAUCUAGCAUAUCUCUCGUCGACCAAAAUACUUUUAUUGAUUUUGAAAAAUUCCUUCAAAAAUUUCCGAACUUCUAAAGCAGAGUGAAUUUAAAAAAUUUUAAAUAGUAGCCGGGAUUAAAAAGUAAAAGCCUCUGUUGUUAUUAUUAUUAUCAUUAGGGUGUGUUUGGUUCCACGUAAAACUGUGGAAAAAAAAUUUUCGGUGGAAAAAAAAUUUUCGGUGGGAAAAAAGUUUUACGUUGUUUGUGUUUGGUUUGUAGGAAAAGAAAAAUAGUUUUCCGUGACGGUUGUUUGGUUGAAAGGAAAAGAAAAGAAAUAAAAAACUAUUUAAUAUAUUUUUUAUUAUAUAUAUUAAUAUUAUUAAUAUAUAAUAAUUAUUAUUAUGUUAUAUAUGAAAAAUUAUUAUAUAUAUAUAUUUCCUAUUAUAUACAUUAUAUAUUAUUAAUAUAUAAUAAUUAUCAUAAUACAUUUAAUUAUUAUAAUUUAUAUUUAUAAACAAGAUAUAUUUAANA
This 743-nucleotide long non-coding RNA is filed under the name Ananas comosus (pineapple). RNAcentral's name for it is "long non-coding RNA (ACOM_LNC020224)". The record is from RNAcentral. Lineage: Eukaryota; Viridiplantae; Streptophyta; Magnoliopsida; Poales; Bromeliaceae.